GUUUGACCUUGUUGAACUUAGGAUAAGUCACUUGGACCUUUCAAGGUUGAUUUGAAGUGAUUUUGAAGUUUGACCUUCCUUUAAUAUUUUAAUUCAAGUUUAUUUUUAAUAUUAAAAAUGCCAAAAAUAUUUUAUUCUUUUCUUGACUUCCAAUCUUCAUCUCACUUCUGUUUUUGAUUGUUUGACCUUGACUUUCAAUGUUAUUGGUCAACAUAUGAGGAUUGAC
This 226-nucleotide long non-coding RNA is filed under the name Lathyrus oleraceus (garden pea). Its description in RNAcentral is "Pisum sativum (pea) long non-coding RNA (PSAT_LNC033562)". The record is from RNAcentral. Lineage: Eukaryota; Viridiplantae; Streptophyta; Magnoliopsida; Fabales; Fabaceae.